UACAGAGGGUGCAAGCGUUGUUCGGAAUCAUUGGGCGUAAAGCGCGUGUAGGCGGCUACUUAAGUCUGGUGUGAAAGCCCGGGGCUUAACCCCGGAAGUGCACUGGAUACUGGGUAGCUCGAGGACGGGAGAGGAUAGUGGAAUUCCUGGUGUACCGGUGAAAUGGGUAGAUAUCAGGAAGAACAUCAGUGGCGAAGGCGGCUAUCUGGCCCGUAUCUGACGCUGAGACGCGAAAGCGUGGGGAGCAAACAGG
RNAcentral lists this ribosomal RNA (253 nucleotides) under uncultured bacterium. RNAcentral's name for it is "partial 16S ribosomal RNA". It matches the Rfam family "Bacterial small subunit ribosomal RNA", at positions 524 to 776 of the family's 1533-position model. The record is from RNAcentral.